Molecule: non-coding RNA, 110 nt
Filed under: Ruminococcus sp.
Lineage: Bacteria; Bacillati; Bacillota; Clostridia; Eubacteriales; Oscillospiraceae
Also listed under: 1 other name
Description: THF-I sequence
Rfam family: THF (Tetrahydrofolate) riboswitch aptamer
About the family: THF riboswitch presents a pseudoknot that joins P1-P2 and the loop of P3 and two THF binding.
Source: RNAcentral
UGAAGAGUAAAAUUACGUUCGUUAAGUGUUGGCUGAACGGGGAGUUGUCAGUCAAACGAAAAGCCGUGGAGAGACCUCGGCUUGCGGUUCGUAUUUUGCAUCCCGCUUCA